UACGAGGGGGGCUAGCGUUGUUCGGAAUUACUGGGCGUAAAGCGCACGUAGGCGGCAUGCUAAGUCAGGGGUGAAAUCCCGAGGCUCAACCUCGGAACUGCCUUUGAUACUGGCAAGCUAGAGUGUGGUAGAGGUUGGUGGAACUCCGAGUGUAGAGGUGAAAUUCGUAGAUAUUCGGAAGAACACCAGUGGCGAAGGCGGCCAACUGGACCAUUACUGACGCUGAGGUGCGAAAGCGUGGGGAGCAAACAGG
This 253-nucleotide ribosomal RNA is filed under the name uncultured bacterium. RNAcentral's name for it is "partial 16S ribosomal RNA". It matches the Rfam family "Bacterial small subunit ribosomal RNA", at positions 524 to 776 of the family's 1533-position model. The record is from RNAcentral.